CAACAUCACGAACACCUACUCGGAGGUUGUUCUUUUAGCUCCUUUAUAUAGCUUGUUACGGCUCAUUUCUCUCUUUUCUCACUCUUUUCUUUUUUAAAUUUUUUUUAUAAUCUGUUCUUUUAGCUCCUUUUUAUAGUUUGUUACGGCUUCAUUUCUCUCUUUUCUCACUCUUUUUUUUUUAAUAUUUUUUUUAUAACUUUCUUUGUAUUUACAUGUUCUGCUGAAGUGUUUGCAUUUGGCUGUAGACAUAGUGAUGAUUCUUUUCAAAUGCAUCACAUUCACACUCUGCUGUACUCUCUUAUGAUCUGCCUGUACAGCACGUUUUUGCCUGUAAAAUUUCGUUACCUGUUGAUUUCUGAGACUCGUAAAUUAGUCACUUUGGUUGGAGGAGUUUGCUCUUAUAUGCUUAGUAUUUCUUAAUUAUGCAGACCUUAGUUUAUGAUUAUUCGCUGUACAGUAUGGCAAAAAUAC
This 471-nucleotide long non-coding RNA is filed under the name Nicotiana benthamiana. RNAcentral describes it as "long non-coding RNA (NBEN_LNC040593)". The record is from RNAcentral. Lineage: Eukaryota; Viridiplantae; Streptophyta; Magnoliopsida; Solanales; Solanaceae.